ACUCCUACGGGAGGCAGCAGUAGGGAAGUCUUCCACAAUGGGCGCAAGCCUGAUGGAGCAACACCGCGUGAGUGAAGAAGGGUUUCGGCUCGUAAAGCUCUGUUGUUAAAGAAGAACACGUAUGAGAGUAACUGUUCAUACGUUGACGGUAUUUAACCAGAAAGUCACGGCUAACUACGUGCCAGCAGCCGCGGUAAUACGUAGGUGGCAAGCGUUAUCCGGAUUUAUUGGGCGUAAAGAGAGUGCAGGCGGUUUUCUAAGUCUGAUGUGAAAGCCUUCGGCUUAACCGGAGAAGUGCAUCGGAAACUGGAUAACUUGAGUGCAGAAGAGGGUAGUGGAACUCCAUGUGUAGCGGUGGAAUGCGUAGAUAUAUGGAAGAACACCAGUGGCGAAGGCGGCUACCUGGUCUGCAACUGACGCUGAGACUCGAAAGCAUGGGUAGCGAACAGGAUUAGAUACCCUGGUAGGAUAGCG
Molecule: ribosomal RNA, 474 nt
Filed under: uncultured bacterium
Lineage: Bacteria
Description: bacterial SSU rRNA
Rfam family: Bacterial small subunit ribosomal RNA
Source: RNAcentral